AUAAAUCCUUACCCUAGCCUCCAAGCGCUCCCUAAACUCACAACUCACAAGCGUUAAACCCAAAUUUUGCGAAGAUAGGGUUUUAAGAUCCAAAGCUAGGGUUUCGUCUUGGGCGGUAGGGUUGAUCCUUACGCAGUUUACAGGAAUUGGUUUUGUAGGAGGAACUUGGUUUUUGGGUACAGGAAGCCAUUGGGACUCUCUGAUAUGGCAAUACACUAUUGAUCUCUAAUCUGCGCAUCUCCUUCGUUUUCCUCCCAAGGUUAAAGUCCGAGGCUUUUAGUAAAGUCUCAAGCUUUAAUAUGCCCCUAGGAACUAACUCAAAGUUGUUUAGUUGACCUUAAUUACAGUCGAAGUUAGGGUUUUCAAGGUCCACUUACCUGAACUGAAAAGUUAAAAAUCUGAAGGCAUCGUUUCAUUGUUUUUGUGAGCUGAAAUUGAUCCAAACUUAAGGUUAAUUGACAGUUCAAACUCAUGAUUAAUUGAUAGUUUGGUUGACCUACUGGUAAUAAAAAUAAAAAUAAGAAAUUAGAAUGUUUUCUUAGGUGUCAAUUUAAUGUGUAACACUUUAUUUAUAUAAACCAACCAUUCAAAAA
Molecule: long non-coding RNA, 593 nt
Organism: Malania oleifera
Lineage: Eukaryota; Viridiplantae; Streptophyta; Magnoliopsida; Santalales; Ximeniaceae
Exons: 2
Source: RefSeq, a predicted model, not a curated record